CAACAGAUGGCACACAGACAGCAGAGUUGGGGACAGAUAUGCAGGGACAGACUGGCAGAGACAGUGAGUCUCAGAUGGUCGCAUGCGGUUGGACACAUGGAGGAGAGAAUCAUUUUCGCAGUAUCCUCAAAACCGUGUCUUUUUGACACAACUGCUGACAGCUACAGGGACAUAAACACAAAAAAUCCUGCUUGGAGACAAGUGUCCACGAUAGUAGGAUUGCCAGGUCAGUUUAGUAGUGGGCAUGUGCCAGAUGUGGCUAGUUAACGUGACCCACAACAAUGGGUCCUGGAGAAGACUAGCCUACCUUCAUCAGAGCAGAAGGCACCCCAAUGUUCUUUCCAUUUGGUAACAUUGCAUAAUUAAAAAAGGAUUCUAAACCAACUUUGGGAAAAGUUAUAGUCCUAAUGAACAUUCUGUAAAAGUACAUCUGAUGUCAAAUAGGGACUAUUAACUAGAGAGCCCUUUAGCUAGCUAGGUUGCACAUAAAAACAAUGUAUCAAAUAUAAAUCAAUUAUGGUAUCAAAGGCUUUAAAAAUGUACUAGAAUGUAGCUUACCGUAGACAAAUCACCAGGCGUUCAACUGGGCUGAUGGACUCCCGGUAGUUGGUAUCCAUCCGGAUGAUCCUGGCUCCAACCAUCUGAAGCAGGUGAUCGAACUGGCUUCGGUCCAGACGAAAGUAACUUCGGAAUUCCUCUCCAAGCAGUCGAAGCUCUUGAAUGAGACGGUGGAACUCCUCUGCCUGCUUUCGGGACUUUAACCAUCUCUGGACCCAUACAGACCUGCGCUUUCGGCGGGGCUGAUCCCGGCCCAACAGCGCGAUCAAGACCACCUUCCUCAACGUUGGUCUCAUUGUUGAAAGAGCCGACUCUGCUAUCUUGACUAUUAUGCAUUUUGCUCCAAAGCUGCAUUUUGGAGGGAAAUUAUAUUAUAGGCUCUCACAAUUAAUUUGUGGAUGUCAUCGAAUAAAUAAUAUACUUGGCAAAUAAAUGAAUAAAAAAAUGUAAA
Non-coding RNA from Salmo salar (Atlantic salmon), 1009 nucleotides. Lineage: Eukaryota; Metazoa; Chordata; Actinopteri; Salmoniformes; Salmonidae. The record is from RefSeq and is a predicted model, not a curated record.